This 254-nucleotide ribosomal RNA is filed under the name uncultured bacterium. Its description in RNAcentral is "partial 16S ribosomal RNA". It matches the Rfam family "Bacterial small subunit ribosomal RNA", at positions 524 to 776 of the family's 1533-position model. The record is from RNAcentral.
CACGUAGGGGCCAAGCGUUGUCCGGAUUUAUUGGGCGUAAAGAGCUCGUAGGCGGUUGGGUAAGUCGGGUGUGAAAACUCCGGGCUCAACUCGGAGACGCCACCCGAUACUGCUCUGACUUGAGUCCGGUAGGGGAGUGGGGAAUUCCUGGUGUAGCGGUGAAAUGCGCAGAUAUCAGGAGGAACACCGGUGGCGAAGGCGCCACUCUGGGCCGGAACUGACGCUGAGGAGCGAAAGCGUGGGGAGCGAACAGG